CCGAGCCAUGUCAGUCCUUACCUUGGGCGCCGCCGCUAGCUGGCCGGAGGCCGUCGUCCAGGGCCUCCUCUUCAUCCUCGCCGCGGGCAUGCUCGUCGCCCUGCACUCCCUCCCCCGUCGCGUUGCUCACCGCCUCCGACGCAGGGCCGGCAGCUCCUCCGCCGCGCAGUCGCGCCGGCACUUCGCGCUGGGCGCCCAGCUCCUCGCCCGCGCGCGUGCCGCCGCGCCCAAGCCGCCGGGCCCGCUUGCCCGCGCGGCCGUCGCAGAGGCGGACCGCGCCAUCGCGCUCGACCCCCGCGACGCCGCGCCGCUGAUCCUCAAGGCCCUCGCGCUCGACCUCCAGGGCCACCGCCUCCCCGCGCUGCGCACCCUCGACGCCGCCCUCGCGCCGCCGCUCGCGCGCUCCCUUGAGCCGAGGGAGCGCGGGGACGCUCUCGCCAAGCGCGCCGAGCUCGCGCUAGCGCUCAACCGCCGCCGCCGCCUCGACCAGGCCGCCGCGGAUCUGGCCGAGGCAGUCCGCCUUAGCCCCAAGAACCCCCGCGCUCAUGCUCUACUUGGUGAGUGCUACGAGAGGAAGGGCCUCACUGCCGAAGCCAGGAGGUCCUUCAAGACCGCCGCGUCCCUUGACCCAUCUCUGGCUACUGCGCGCGACGGCCUCCAUCGGACAGGCGGGGGCAGCGACGGCAACGAGAGUGAUUGAUGUAAGCAAACUUGCCUUGAUUCUUAUCAUCAACUUGUUAAUUGCAAAGUAUGCAGUAUAGAUUAAAGAUCACAGGCUCCACAAACGCAAAGAGAGCAAAAUAAAAACUUGAUUAGGACCUGUUGUUGGGCAAGCAUUUGUAACUGUUGUUGUAUAUUUUGCGGUGGAAUGAACGAUCCCCUUUAAGACAAAAAAAUGGUAAAUGUUUCAUGUAUAAUGCUGUGUGGCUUUGCUGUAGUUGCUUACCUUGAAGAUAUGUUACUUACUUAUGGUCCACUGUUGCUGA
Lolium rigidum is the source of this 986-nucleotide RNA transcript. RefSeq lists it as uncharacterized. The record is from RefSeq and is a predicted model, not a curated record. NCBI's taxonomy places the organism in Eukaryota, Viridiplantae, Streptophyta, Magnoliopsida, Poales, Poaceae. The transcript is spliced from 2 exons.